GUUAUUCUGCUUAAGGCGUCAUUUAUUUUACCCACUGUCAUUUGUAAAAUCAAAAUUAUACUCCUCCAAAUCAAACUGCAUGGUGUGCUUUCUACUCCAAAUAAUUUUCUCCGAAAGAGGCCUCGAUUUUCAAAUCCAAUGUUUCACCCUCGAAGCUGUCUGGGGCACGAAUCACGAUCAAACUCAUAUUAAAGAACUGCCGCAGCAAAGCAUGUAUCCUC
RNAcentral lists this long non-coding RNA (221 nucleotides) under Olea europaea (common olive). Its description in RNAcentral is "long non-coding RNA (OEUR_LNC004596)". Lineage: Eukaryota; Viridiplantae; Streptophyta; Magnoliopsida; Lamiales; Oleaceae. The record is from RNAcentral.